GAUGAACGCUGGCGGCGUGCCUAAUACAUGCAAGUCGAGCGAACAGACGAGGAGCUUGCUCCUCUAACGUUAGCGGCGGACGGGUGAGUAACACGUGGAUAACCUACCUAUAAGACUGGGAUAACUUCGGGAAACCGGAGCUAAUACCGGAUAAUAUAUUGAACCGCAUGGUUCAAUAGUGAAAGACGGUUUUGCUGUCACUUAUAGAUGGAUCCGCGCCGCAUUAGCUAGUUGGUAAGGUAACAGCUUACCAAGGCAACGAUGCGUAGCCGACCUGAGAGGGUGAUCGGCCACACUGGAACUGAGACACGGUCCAGACUCCUACGGGAGGCAGCAGUAGGGAAUCUUCCGCAAAGGGCGAAAGCCUGACGGAGCAACGCCGCGUGAGUGAUGAAGGUCUUCGGAUCGUAAAACUCUGUUAUUAGGGUAGAACAAAUGUGUAAGUAACUAUGCACGUCUUGACGGUACCUAAUCAGAAAGCCACGGCUAACUACGUG
This 497-nucleotide ribosomal RNA is filed under the name uncultured bacterium. Its description in RNAcentral is "partial 16S ribosomal RNA". It matches the Rfam family "Bacterial small subunit ribosomal RNA", at positions 28 to 507 of the family's 1533-position model. The record is from RNAcentral.